AAAGAAGAUACAUAGCUGAAAACACUUGAAGGUAUAGGCUACCUUGAAAGUCACGCAAGAACUGUUCUUCCUGGUUUCCAUAUCCAAGAUGCAGAAGUCAAGGCAUAGGGAUGUGAACAUACGUGGGUCGUGUUCCAUAGUACCUGGACCAAGAGAAGAGGUCUCUCUAUGUUGAGAAAAGGGCAAUGCCUUCCCACAGCAUGGUACUUCUUCUCCUUCUGAGAAUGAUACUGUUACAUAAAGGUUUUGGGUGGUGCCCCAGACCACAGAGAUUUCCUUCUGCCCAGCUGCGUGAGGCACACAUAUCCUGGGAUGGCAUUAGGAAGAUGGCCACUUUCACAUCAACUCAUGUGCUCUGGCACCGACCUCUCUUCUCUCUACCCAACCCAACUUCCCACCCACUGCUAUUGGGAUGAUACCUGCUCUUGGGUAAGGAACGCAUAUCCAAAUGCUACCUCAGAUCAGGGAGGUAAUAUCUGGCCUCAAUUCUCUGCCCUUAAAGAAUCUUGCAGCCAAAUUGGGUAAAGAAUCAAGACCCAUCGGUGUGUUUUAUUCAGGAGACCCAUCUCACGUGCAAAGACACACAUAGGCCCAAAAUAAAGGGAUGGAGGAAUAUUUACCAGGGAAAUGGAAAGCAAAAAAAAAAAAAAAAAAAAAAAAAAAAGCAAGGGUUGCAAUCCUAACCUCUGAUAAAACAGACUUUAAACCAACAAAGAUCAAAAAAGACAAAGAAGGGCAUUACAUACUGGUAAAGGGAUCAAUGCAACAAGAAGAGCUAACUAUCCUAAAUAUACAUGCACCCAAUACAGGAGCACACAGAUUCAUAAAGCAAGUUCUUAGAGACCUACAAAGAGACUUAGACUCCCACACAAUAAUAGUGGGAGACUUUAACACCUCACUGUCAAUAUUAGGCAGAUCAACAAGACAGAAAAUUAACCAGGAUAUUCAGGAUGUGAACUAAGCUCUGGACCAAGCGGACCUAAUAGACAUCUACAGAACUCUCCACCCCAAAUCAAUAGAAUAUACAUUCUUCUCAGCACCACAUCGCACUUAUUCUAAAAUUGACCACAUAAUUGGAAGUAAAACACUCCUCAGCAAAUGCGAAAGAAUGGAAAUCAUUACAGUCUCUCAGAUCACAGUGCAAUCAAAUUAGAACUCAGGAUUAAGAAACUCAGUCAAAACCGGACAACGACAUGGAAACUGAACAAUCUGCUACUGAAUGACUACUGGGUAAAUAACGAGAUUAAGGAAGAAAUAAAUAAGUUCUUUGAAACCAAUGAGAACAAAGACACAAUGUACUAGGGUCUCUGGGACACAGCUAAAGCAGUGUUUAGAGGGAAAUUUAUAGCACCAAAUGCCCACAGGAGAAAGCGGGAAAGAUCUAAAAUCUACACCUUAACAUCACAGUUCAAAGAACUAGAGAAGCAAGAGCAAACAAAUUCAAAAGCUAGCAGAAGGCAAGAAGUAACUAAGAUCAGAGCACAACUGAAGGAGACAGAGACACAUGGACACAGGAGAAUGAGAACACAUGGACACAGGGAGAGUAACACCACAGACUGGGGCCUGUAAGGGGUGGGGAGUGGUGGGGAGGGAUAGCAUUAGGAGAAAGAUCUAAUGUAGAUGAAAGUUUGAUGGGUGCAGCAAACCACCAUGGCACGUGCAUACCUAUGUAACAAACCUGCACAUUCUGCACAUGUAUCCCAGAACUUAAAGUAUAAUAAUAAUAAUAAUAAAAGAAUGUCAUAGCCAUCAUCUAUUGUAUACAACAGACCUCAAAUUAGUCUCUCUCUGCUUCUCCAACAGGGUGGCCUCUUCUAUGAAGCUCUCUACCCACGGGUUUCCCCAACAUCCCAUCCCCCACCCCUCUGGUUUCUCCUCCCCAUCGUCUUCACUUCAAAACGAGAAAAGAAAAAGAAAUUCAAGUGACUCAUCAGUCCACAUAGGCAGGAGUGGGAGAGGCGGAGAGAGUGAAUUUGUGGGUCCAGAUGAAUAUUUCCGCAGGCCUCUUGACUGCUUCACACGAUCUGCUGUGCUUCAUGAAAAA
Long non-coding RNA from Nomascus leucogenys (northern white-cheeked gibbon), 2044 nucleotides. RefSeq lists it as uncharacterized. Lineage: Eukaryota; Metazoa; Chordata; Mammalia; Primates; Hylobatidae. The record is from RefSeq and is a predicted model, not a curated record. The transcript is spliced from 2 exons.